Molecule: ribosomal RNA, 392 nt
Filed under: uncultured bacterium
Lineage: Bacteria
Description: partial 16S ribosomal RNA
Rfam family: Bacterial small subunit ribosomal RNA
Source: RNAcentral
AUACGGAGGAUCCGAGCGUUAUCCGGAUUUAUUGGGUUUAAAGGGUGCGCAGGCGGCCAUUUAAGUCAGCGGUUAAAUCGUGGGGCUCAACCCCAUUCUGCCGUUGAUACUGGGCGGCUUGAUUGCGGUCGAGGUUGGCUGGAUUCGUUGUGUAGCGGUGAAAUGCAUAGAUAUGACGAAGAACACCGAUUGCGUAGGCAGCUGACCAGACCGCAAAUGACGCUCAUGCACGAAAGUGCGGGGAUCGAACAGGAUUAGAUACCCUGGUAGUCCGCACAGUAAACGAUGAAUACUUGUUUUCGGCGAUAUAAUGUCGGAGGCAAAGCGAAAGCGAUAAGUAUUCCACCUGGGGAGUACGCCGGCAACGGUGAAACUCAAAGGAAUUGGCGGGG